Molecule: ribosomal RNA, 200 nt
Filed under: uncultured bacterium
Lineage: Bacteria
Description: partial 16S ribosomal RNA
Rfam family: Bacterial small subunit ribosomal RNA
Source: RNAcentral
AGAGUUUGAUCCUGGCUCAGGACGAACGCUGGCGGCGUGCUUAACACAUGCAAGUCGAACGAGAUCCUUCGGGGUCUAGUGGCGAACGGGUGAGUAACACGUGAGCAACCUGCCCUUGGCUCUGGGAUAGCCUCCGGAAACGGGGAUUAAUACCGGACAUGACCUUGGAUCGCAUGAUCCCGGGUGGAAAGUUUUUCGGC